ACACACCUGUAAGUGCCAGAAGCAACAGAGAUUGGCUGCGACCUGAAAAUUACACCUGUGGGGGGAGGCGGGGGCAGACUACAUGUAAGCCAAGCCCUUUACAAACUCGGUCUCUCUUCCUGAGGAGCUUAACCAGAUCACAACGACACCUCCAGCUCCCGAAAAACUUUUAGCAGACAAUGUCCAGCGACCUUGAUACUGUUUUUGGGUUAGUUCAUACCUACCGGCCCGGUGCCUCUCAUCGAGCCAGCCUGAGAUUCACCUACCAUGGAGAGACGACUUCUUCUGCAGAAUGUCAUGGAGGUCGAUUGUCCUUCAGCGGGAGGAAUGGAAGAGGAAGACUAGCUUUCAAAGCAGCUCAGCCAGCGCACAAUGAUGUCUCUUGUCUUGGGUUUCUGGCUCCAUGACCACACCUGGGAAGGACUCGGUAACUCCCCAACAUCAUAUCUUAUUUGUCUUUUGUAGUCUGGAAAAAUAUUUUAUGUAAUUCAACUUUAUAAUGCAAAUGUAUAUUAUUAUUGCUUCCAGUUCAGCACUCAUAUGGGUAGACUGAAACAAAAUAAUUUAAUAUAUAUACUCUACUUUUAUAACCAGGAAACGAAUGCUAGUCCAGCCUAGUUACUGUAUUGUAUAAAGCCGUUGGCGCUUGUGGGCUGUUACUGGUCUUGUAGUUUCGAUGGGCAUAUCAUAAUCUGUAUCAGAUUCCAGUUCAAUUUGAAUAGAGAGAAAAAGAGGAAACAAUAGGGGUGAACGUUCAUUCCUAAACUGGAUAGACCAGUUGGGGCAGGUAGAGGCAAACCGCCCAACGUUUCAAAGGACAUAAAGACAGCAGCUUAUUUCCCUCAUUAGAUUUACGUUUGUGGAGAUGUUCAAGUAACUAGACGGUAUGAGGAGAUUUAACCUCCCAACGGCCAAUUGAAAAAUGCUUUGGUGAAAAGCCAGAGGUCAUCUUCUUCAGUUCUCUUUAGCCUGUUGAUUGGCGUCUUACCAGACAUGGUUAGAUCUAAUUAUCUGUGUCUAAUACUGUCUGGUAAUGCCGUCCAUUGAGAGCGCGUUACCUUCCACUCUUUUUCCCUUUCUCCUUCUUGAGCAGAAGUGUUCAGGAUGUCGAUCUCAGCGCUGACAUUUACAUUUAUUUGAUGAAGUGACAGAUGAUGACAGGACAUGACGGUUAUGGGGAUGAAGAUAAUUCCAGAAACUGUUAACUUUGCACUGGCAGAUAACGUUGCACUUACAUAUAUCCAUAAUAGUAAGGCUAGAAUAAAAACCCAGUAAAACUCUCAGACCUUGUGUAAGCUCUGUAUGAUCCGCUGGGUUCCUCAGCUGUGUUCUGUGUGUUGUGGCCUUGAAGUGUUGUCCGCACAUGUAAAAAAACUGUUUUAGUGCACUUCUUUUGAGAUCCUGAAGCUUGUUAUUGUAGGUAUCAAAUGUAUUGUCAUGUUAUUUUGGGGAUAUUUCAAAAUCAUUAUGCGUUCCCUCAUGAAUUGUGUUCUCUCAUUUGGUGUUGUCUUAGUAACUGAAUUCCACCUGUGUUUUGGGCCUUUUUCCCGGUUUUCUCUUUUCUUGUUCAAUUCUUCACUUAAAAAACGAAAUCUUUGAAUGCUUACCAAAUGUAAUGAAUGCAAUUUCACUGUGACUUUAUGUAACAUGCAAACAUCAAAUAAACAUGCAAUAAAAA
Osmerus eperlanus (European smelt) is the source of this 1678-nucleotide long non-coding RNA. RefSeq lists it as uncharacterized. NCBI's taxonomy places the organism in Eukaryota, Metazoa, Chordata, Actinopteri, Osmeriformes, Osmeridae. The transcript has 2 exons. The record is from RefSeq and is a predicted model, not a curated record.